RNAcentral lists this transfer RNA (540 nucleotides) under uncultured cyanobacterium. Its description in RNAcentral is "partial 16S-23S ribosomal RNA intergenic spacer". The stretch from base 212 to 284 matches the Rfam family "tRNA". The record is from RNAcentral. Lineage: Bacteria; Bacillati; Cyanobacteriota.
CAGGGAGACAACAAAAUGUUUAAUAUUAUUAUUUUGUCACCUUAGGUCGAUCGGUAUCUCACAUUCUUAAUUUAUUAAGAAUUUCAUUUCCUAAGUUUUUCUAGGUCACACCCAUUAUUUUUCCUGGGCCAUUAGCUCAGGUGGUUAGAGCGCACCCCUGAUAAGGGUGAGGUCCCUGGUUCAAGUCCAGGAUGGCCCAUAUCUCUAUGUUGGGGGUAUAGCUCAGUUGGUAGGGCGCCUGCUUUGCAAGCAGGAUGUCAGCGGUUCGAGUCCGCUUACCUCCACUGAUUACCACCUCUGCCAUAAUUUGUAAAAAGGAAAUAUUUUGAGCUGUGAUCAAAUUCUGAACGAAUCUAGCUUCCUAAUGAAAUCAUUAAGAUGCUGGACUCAUUGAAUCAAUUUCAUUGUUUUCAGAGAACCUUGACAACUGCAUAGAUUAUUUUUAAAGACAAUAAGCAUCUUUAAUGAUGCAGAUUUAUUAUUUGUGCGAAUGCAUUAAUAACAAUUCUAUUAAGCUGAUGCUUCAAUUUUGAAGUUAUU